GUCUAUGGCCAUGCCACCCUUAACGUGCCCAAUCUCAUCUAAUCUCGGAAGCUAAGCAGGGUCGGGUCUGGUUAGGACUUGGAUGGGAGACCACCUAGGAAGACCAGGUGCUAUGGGCA
This 119-nucleotide ribosomal RNA is filed under the name Pteropus alecto (black flying fox). The record is from RNAcentral. Lineage: Eukaryota; Metazoa; Chordata; Mammalia; Chiroptera; Pteropodidae.